This 72-nucleotide transfer RNA is filed under the name Camelus bactrianus (Bactrian camel). It matches the Rfam family "tRNA". Rfam says of the family: Transfer RNA (tRNA) molecules are approximately 80 nucleotides in length. Their secondary structure includes four short double-helical elements and three loops (D, anti-codon, and T loops). Lineage: Eukaryota; Metazoa; Chordata; Mammalia; Artiodactyla; Camelidae. The record is from Rfam by way of RNAcentral. RNAcentral also lists the same sequence under 1 other name.
GAGGGUGUAGCUCAGUGGUAGAGUGCAUGCUUAGCAUGCACAAGGUCCUAGGUUCAAUCCCCAGUAUCUCCA